Molecule: long non-coding RNA, 768 nt
Organism: Physella acuta
Lineage: Eukaryota; Metazoa; Mollusca; Gastropoda; Physidae
Source: RefSeq, a predicted model, not a curated record
ACGAAUGGAUUGACUGUUCCAAAUACAAAAUAUGGAGAUAAAUUUAUUUUUAAUUUUACUUCAUCUAAGGACAGGUUUUAUCUGGUUUUAAUGAGUAAAAGUGGUGCUGCUGCUCUCAGCUUUAAUAUCCUAUACAAAUAUGGAGGGUAUAACAACGCAGUCAGUAUAUUCUACAAUCAAACAAAUGACUGGAAAAACAAAAUGUACACUGAAGACUUUCCUUUCGGAAAAAAGAAUGAAGAUACUAUGGUAUGGACCGUCUUACCAACGGAUGUCAAGAUAAGAGUGAAUGAAGAAAGAGACUAUUUGAUAGAAAGCUAUGAAAAAUUGUACGAUAAAUUGGUGUGGAGCGGCACUGGCAAAUUAAUUUCUAUUUUUAUGACUUAGAUUGUAAAAAUAUGAAUGCACAAACUAAAUUAAAUGACACUAUGAUUUUACUCUAUGUUACUAACAAAAAUCAAAUAUACACUAUUGAUGAAUAUUUAAAACUAAAGCAUUUAAAUAAAGUAUUGAAUUGAAAAAAAAAAUUCGACAGAAAUUUUAAAAUCUUGCAUUUAUAGUUAUAUAUUGCAGAUUUGGAAUUGUUUAUGUUCAUUUAUAUAACCAUUAUGUUUAUUUUUCUUAGCUCUAUGUUUCGUUUAUCUUACUCUUUACGUCGAUGGUAGUAGCUCUAUGACUUUGGCGAUGUUGGUUUUUUAAGUUUUUUUUUUAAAUUCAUUAAAUACAAAUAUGCACAUACGAUUUGUACAACCUAUCGUUAUCUCUUUA